This 100-nucleotide transfer RNA is filed under the name Justicia patentiflora. RNAcentral's name for it is "partial tRNA-His". Lineage: Eukaryota; Viridiplantae; Streptophyta; Magnoliopsida; Lamiales; Acanthaceae. The record is from RNAcentral.
GAAUAAUAAGGUAUUCCAUUCUUAAUGUCUUAAUGUUAGGGCUUUAUUAACGAUUGAGUAUUAUUCGUUUUUUCUUUAUGAAUUGCAUCUAUCUAACUUA